RNA transcript from Brassica oleracea var. oleracea, 1113 nucleotides. It is a transcript of the gene named NADH-cytochrome b5 reductase 2-like, with no coding region annotated. The record is from RefSeq and is a predicted model, not a curated record. NCBI's taxonomy places the organism in Eukaryota, Viridiplantae, Streptophyta, Magnoliopsida, Brassicales, Brassicaceae. The transcript is spliced from 11 exons.
CAAAACUCUAUCUUCUGCACUUUCCUUUAGCCUCUCUCUCUUCCUCUAUGGUUUCUUUUUUGUCCCAAAAAUUUUGUUGUCGUUGCUUUCCUUCUCCAAAUCUGUCUAUGAAUUCACCUUGAAGGUUCAGAUUCUUUGAGGUUUUGUAUUGAUUUGAAGCUUGAGAAUCCCAUACAGAGAGAGAGAUCAAGAAAAGAUCAUAGAAGAAGAAGAAAAAUCUUCCGAUCACUCUUCCUCCGACAAUCUGGCAGUCUUUGCCUUUGUGAUUGGAAUCGUGCUUCCUUCGCGAUUCCGAGCUUCAUAGUGAUUUUGAGCCUAUAAAACGAUGUGGACCAAUGUUUUCAGAAUUUCUCUUCCUAGUGAAGCUGAGCUCAAUCAUGCCUCUGAUACAAGUUCAAGAGCUGAGCAGAAUGAUGUUGCAACAUAUCUUGUGCUUUUCAUUUGUUGGACCUUGGGAUCCAUCUCAAGGUUUAUACAACCCUGAUGAAAAGAUUAAGCUUUGGCUUUUUCUUCCUGGGUGUCAUUCAUCAAUCUCUGAUACAGCUCAGGCUUCUGUCUCAAAACUUAGAGACGCACGUUACAGAGCAAGAGCGAUUCUUGAGAAUCCAACAGACAAGACAAAGGUGCAUCUCAUUUACGCCAAUGUCACAUACAAUGACAUUCUCUUAAGGGAAGAAUUGGAGAGUCUUACAGCCAAUUAUCCAGAUCAAUUCAAAAUCUACUAUGUUUUGAACCAGCCUCCUGAGACAUGGGAUGGUGGUGUUGGAUUUGUGUCAAAGGAUAUGAUCCAGGCUCAUUGCCCUGCACCUGCAUCCGAUAUUCAGCACCAAGAGAGUUAUGAGAUCUGGAAAGAAGAUUGCUCCUCCUGUCUCCAACAAACCUCGUUUCAACUUCAUUGAGGACACGUUCGUGAGUGCUCGUGGAGUUAAGACCAAGGUCUGGACGCUGGAGAGCCCUAUCCGAAAUUCGGUAUUGGGACUCAAGCUUUCCAACUCUGCAAUCGGUAGUACAUAUUGAUUAAUUUUAUGUUAAGAUUUAUUUGUUUUUUUUUUUAGAGAAAACAAAACUUUCAUAAUGCAUUUUGGAGAAUGUCGGGUGUUACAAGCAACUUAA